AAUCCACCUCUGCAUGUGAUCAUCUGCAUUUGACUCCUUGAACUAUGGCAGCCAGCUGGAGCCAUGAAGUAAGCCACCCUAACAUGAGUGGCAGAAACAUGGAGAGACAGGGUUUCACCAUAAUGGCCAGGCUGCUCUCCACCUCCUGGGCUCAAGCGAUCCACCCACCUCAGCCUCCCAAAAUGUUGGGAUUGCAGAUAUGAGCCAUAGUUCCCCUCCAUCAGCCCAAAUGUCAGUUCCUGGAGUACAAAGGCGGUGGCUGCUUCAGAUGCUUCAGACUGAAACUGCUCUUUGCCAUUCUCAUGGACACUGGAGAGUUAAGUUUGGUUAAAUUGAUGCCUUUUUCUUUUAAAAAAGAAAGAAUACACAUAUACCUUUGUGUACACACAAGCUAGGAAACAUCAAUCUAAUACAUGGAUGGCAAGAAAAACCAGAUCUGGCUCAUGCCAGUUACAAUGGUCUGUGAAGAUAAAAAGAUUUCUUCAGAUUUAUUUCUCAGCCAAUUUCUGCUUUUCCUAGGGAGAAAUUAAAAGUUUGUUAAAUACCUAUGUUUAGCCUUUUAUUAAUUUAGCCGGUGAAAUUAAAAGUACUGGUAGACUGUAAUUAAAUUAAGACAUUUUCGACCUUGAAUUAAUGCUGCCAUUGGAAAUGUUGACAUGUCUUAAUAGUUGGUCUGCAUGUUACAUUACCACCAUCUACUGUUCAUAAUGGUCAAUUUUUAAAUAAUGACUUUUAUUCUUAUUUCCCUCAGUGAAUCUUUUGUAAAUGUAAAUAUCACAUAUGCUUGUGACCACUAAUUUGAAUAUGGGGCCCAUGGUAUCCAACAUGGGUAGUAUUUCCCAAUUAGGGCUCCUUGGUACAUUAAUGCUAAUAAGAGUGUCCCGGGGGGCGGGAAAGAGGAGUUCAGUAGUCAAACUUGUUUUGGAAAUGCUGCUUGCUACAUCCAGGCUUAAAAAGUUACAAUUUACCCCAGCAAAUUUAAGGAUCUGAAGAGUUCUUCAGUAAAGAAACUGGUUCAAUGUUGUGGAACCCAGUGUUUUCCAAGCUUGUAUAAUCAUGGAAAUCUUUUUAGGUAAACCACCUAUUAAUAUUUUUCAAGACAUCAGAGUUUGGUGCUGUAGGGCUUUAGGUCAGAGGGUACUGGGCCUAUUCCAAAAACUCAUAGCUGCAAGUGUUUCAUUCUAUCAAAUGCCAACAAGAAAACUAGACAAUUUUACAACAUAAUUUCUGCUCAUAAAUAAUUUGCCACCAGGUUUACAGUUUUCUUAUACUACCUUCGAGAGACAUACGGUGGCAAGGUAACACUGUUGUCACUAUCACUUCACAGCAGUUAUUUCUGAAAGUGAAAAAUCAUCCUACCACUAGGCCUUAAUAACAAGUUUAUGGCAGAACUUCUCAAAUGUUGCCAGCAAAACACCCCUGAUAGUAAAGAAGGAUAAAUUCAAACCCCUGGAAUGAGACUGCUAAAAACAGCACAUUUCUGAAAUGUUAUGUUUUAUCUUAAAAAUUCAUGCAAGAAAUAGUGGCAUGUUUGUGAAAUGACAAAUGUUCAGGGUUAUCCACUGCAGUGAUAUUUUUAAUAAGAAAAGAUUUAAUAUAACUCAAAUGCGCAUGAACAGGAAAAUGGUUAAAUAAAUUAUACUACAACCACACCAUGGAACAUGCUAUUGAGCUGUUUAAAAAAAAAAGAAUGGGGAAAUGUUCUACACACUAACAUGGAAAUAUCUCCAAGAUAUUGUGUCAUAUGAAAAAAGCAAAAAAAAAAAAAACAAAAAAAACCAGAAGUGUAUAAUAUGCUAGCUUUUAUCAGAAAGGGGAAAAAUAAGACUCUGUAUUCUUAAGUUGCUAAUGUGUGCAUAAAGCAAUUCUAAAAGGAUCCAGAAGAAACUCUUAACAGUGGUUACCUUUUGGGGAAGAGGAUGAGAACUCAAAAAAGGGGAGAGAAGGAUGAGGAGAAACUCGAAACUUGAUCUUUUGAUGUUUUUUGAGCCAUGUGAAUGUGUAACCUAUCAAAAAUUAUAUUAUAAAGUCAAAAAUCAUGCAAAUGUUUUACUCUACUCCAUGACAUAUUCAAAUUUGUCUUAAGAGUUUAAGAAGCAGGGCAUAACUACUCUGGAGGCUGAGGAGGGAGGAUCAGUUGAAACCAGGAGUCUGAGACCAGGAGUUUGAGACCAGACUGGACAACAUUGAAACCCUGUAUCAAAAAAAAAUUUUCUUAAUAUAUAUUUUUAAAGGUUUUAAAAAUUACCCACAUAUUUUCACAACAGUACAACUAAAUCCAUAUUUAAACUCUGAUUGGUAGGUUAUCUGAGAUAUGUAGGGUCUUGUGUGAAAGGUAUGGGUUUAGGCCAUUUAAAAGUUGCUUAAACAUUUAGCCUUCAUUCCAUUUGGUAAACCAACAUCAAUACAAAAAAUGAUCUGGAAUCUCCACUAAAAAGUACUUGUUUGACAGUUUGGGAUUUUUAUCUACAGGCCGGGGUAUUUUAGACCUGGCAAAUAUUAACCCCAGGGUCCCAGGACUCAUGCUCAAAAUUAGUACUAACUUAUUUUGGAAGUAACUACGGAGAAAAUGCCACAACACUGAAAUGACAACCCAAAAUGUGGAGUGUCACAGAGUUAUGUGCACUCCUCAGUGCCAGAGUGUCCAACGGAAAGCCAACUGGUUGGGAGGCAAGAAACCUCAAAGGCAAACCUUCUGCUUUAUAAUCUAACGUAACUGGAAUUAAAACUCUCCAAGUAUUUUCAAAAUAUUUUUUAAAACUUGUUGAUUAUUUUUAAAAUUAAGUAGUCUGGCUUAAGCUAAACAAUUUUCCACUACAUUUCCCAAAUUUUAAAGAAGUAGGCUUCAUUUGGUUAUACUAAUUUUUUUUGGAGGCAGGGUCUCACUCUGUCGCCUAGGAUGGGAUGCUGUGGUGCAAUUCUAGUUCACUGCAGCCUUGACCACCUCAGGUGCUAAGGCAAUCCUCCCACCUCAGCCUUCCGAGUAGCUGGGACAGACUGCAGGCAUGCGCCACCAUGCCCACUAUUUAUUACUAUUUGUAAAGACAGAGUCUCCCAAUGUUGCCCAGUCUGGUCUGGAAUUCCUGGGUUCAAGCGAUCCUCCUGCCUCAGCCUCCCAAAGUGUUGGGAUUACAGGCAUGAGCCACCAUGCCUGGCCUUACUAUACUUUCAGAGAACUUUUACUAAAAUGCUUUCUAUAUAUGUGGAAAAUAUAUGGCAUUUUUAUAUGGUCUAAUAAAUAAAUAAAAUAUAACUCAGAUAUAACUGAUGAAACAAGCAAAUGCAAUAUGAUUAGUGUCAAUAAAAUGUACUAAAGGUUCCUGCAUUUUAUUCCAGAAGAUACUCUAGGUGUAAGUUUUAUGUCCUUGUCUACCUCCUAAGAAUGAUUUAAUAAACCAACGGUGUCAUAAAAGUCUCCUACAUUCUUUCAAAUUGAAAUUUUAUUUCUAGGUAUAAAUGAGGCCAGAAUUAAAAAGACAAACAGCAUGAAUAGAUGAACCGUGCAGCACGACCAGCAGGGAGUCAUUUGUUACUGCUUUCUUUGAUUCUGAUCCUGUCUCAGAAGGCUGUUCUCUGUGGAAUCCCUUCAGAGAAACAAACAGGCAGUGGGGACCGCAAGGGCUUAAAACUCUACUGCAAUCUCCUGAUGAUCUGUUGGAUAUUCAUAAGUGGCAAAAUGAUUCCACCUUUAGGUUUUAUUUCGUUGUAAUAAAGAAUUAUGAAUAAUUGAUCACUAGGUAAUAAAUUAUUCAGGUAGGCACACAGUUUCCAAGGAAUCCUGGAGUGAGUCUGGUUAAUGGCAAAGCAGGAGCUUGAGGCAGCUGCUGAGGGGACACCCCCCCAUUAACCUCACACUGCAAAGGCAUGGGUAGUUAGUGCCUCUCAGUGUGGGCUUUUCAAUAGGGGCCAUAUUAAUGCCUUUUGAUUUUUUUUUUUUUUUGGACUGAAACACCUGUUUUAUUUUCCCAAUCUAAACAAAAUUUCCUUGACGUUAGUGUUGUCACAAGCAACAACUUUUUUUAAAUUGUUUUUGUUAUUUAUAACAUGUAGUUAAAAGUAUUCAUAGAUAUAUAGUUUAAAAAACAAAAAAAUCCUCAGAAGAUCUCUACUUUUAGAAAAUGCAGUUUGAACAAUAUCUGGCAAAUUUGGAGGAUCAUAUAUUAUUGUUAUAAAUGAGGCAAUAUAGGAAAUAAAAACACAAAACUGACAUCUUGGUUCUGCAUAGUUUAUCUGACAAACUCUUGAAAUAGAUACCGUUUAGUAGAAAAUACACGUUUGACAACACUGAGUAACAUAUAUGGGCUAAAGUGGGCUUAACAUGCCACUGAUGGACACACAAAUUAAGCCGUUUGUGGGACAUAAGUACAAAUACCAAUUAAAGAAAUGACAAAUAAUUUUGUAAAUUGUCAUCUAAAAGCAAGAAGAGUCCCAAAAUAAAUGACGUAUAGAGUGACGAUACAAGUGGGCUAAGUCUUAGGAUAAAAUUUUCAUUCUUAAACUCCAUACCACUAGGACAUAUACUGCGUAACUACUGCUGUUUCACAGGACUAGCAACCGUCAAUCAUCUCUUUGCUAAUUGGUACAAAAACUGCACAGAAAUUAUGUAUCUGAAAUUGGGUCUCUAAAUUCGUCUCUAGAUUCUACAUAGAACAUAAUCAUGCUGAGUCCAUACCAUGAGGUCCAUUUGUUAUUCUACAUGGAUUUAUGCCUUUAAUCUACAUGGAAUGUAUAACCAGAGAAAAUUUAAAAUGUGUUUUAGAACCAAAAUACUAAACUAACGAAACUUUUAGCUAACUACAACCAAAAAGCAAUCAUUGUUAUUGUAUGUACUAUUAAUUAGAAAAGGCUAUACUAGUUCAAGCCUUAGGUUCGCGAAGUCAAAAUGGACACCAAGUCUUCCGUAGGCGGAGCAAGUCAGCAGGCAGCUAUCCUCCUUACAGUGCUUCUGUACACAGGUGCCAGCGUCUCAAUGCAAGAGCUCAGAAGAGAAGCUCCAAGGUCAGGAGGGCUCUACUCCUUAGGCUGAAGUGACAUGUAAAUGAUGCAUCAUUCCACUCAGAAAUUACUAGCCAGGACACUAGAAAAAGAAAUGGUGGAUAGGAGGCAGGACUAACUUGCAGCUCCCACUCAGACAGACAGAGCAGCGUGUGAAGACUCAUACAGAGAACUUUUGCUCCAAGAACUACCACAGGAACAUACCAGGAAAGCGAGAGGAUCCACAGAUCCUUUGAAGGAAGCGGAUUGCUGCUGCAGGCACCUGGAGACAGCCAAAACACUCUGAGUGCCCAAAGUGUGAAAGAGGGAUCAUCUGCCCCCAAACACACACCCUCACUGGGGAACCUGAAGGUCCAGAUCACAGAAGGAUCUGACCUUACCUGGAGCUGAGACAAAUUUAGAGAGCCAAGUGAAAUACAGGUGUAGAAGCAGCAGCAGGAAGAGCCCUGUGGGCACUCUUGGUCCCCAGCGAAGCCGUUUCUGACUUUGUCUCACAGGGGUCCUUGGAGAGGGCUGCCAGAGGAACUGGGAAAAGACCACAGGGAGAAGGAAACUUCCAGCUGAACUUUGUAACCAUUUUGACCAAACGCAGUUUCCUGGACAGAACCUGGGGGAGGGGGCGAAUAGGGAGUGCAGACACAGCACAGAAGCUGCGGCAGGUGGGGAAACACAGAACCUGAAAGUCCUGCAUGCUUUCUCAGCGGGGAGGCUGGUGGCCUGGGGAAAGUUCCCAGCUCUGUUCACCCGCUGCCUGGAAAUAAACUCAGUGCUAUUGAGAGGGCACGGUAGGAGUAACACUGGCCUUUUGGGAUACGUGGGAGCUGCAUGAGGCCUGUAACUGCCAGUUUUCUCCCACUUCCCUGGUGACCUGCAUGAUGCAGCAGAGGCAGCCAUAAUACCCCUGGAAACAUAAUCCCACUGGCCUGAGAACCACACCCACAUACCCCAC
Molecule: long non-coding RNA, 5944 nt
Filed under: Homo sapiens (human)
Lineage: Eukaryota; Metazoa; Chordata; Mammalia; Primates; Hominidae
Description: non-protein coding lnc-ASTE1-1:6
Source: RNAcentral